UUCAAUUCCAUUUAAAUAACAGGGAAGAGAGGAACAGAAAAGAAGUCAGAUGAAAAAGUUCAUAUUGGAAGUUUCUCAGAAAUAAGGGAAUGAGUGAGUCAUGAGCGCUGAUGUGGCUCAUGUAACUAAUUGUUUUAAUCACUGAGGACAGCAAAAUAUCUUAGAGCUGCAAAGAAGUUUCCAUGUUUCUGGAAAAAUGAAAUAUAAAAGCGGUGGAGAGAAGAAAAAACUUUGAGGGAAAGAGAUUCUUAAGAGUUGUCUUCUACACAAAGAGUUGAAGCCCUAAAGCCAUCUAAAGAAAUUCAAUGCAUAUUAUGAAUCAACUGCCAAAAUUUUAAUGGUCUGGCAUAUAGUAGCAAAUGUUUACUUUAUUGAUAGCAACUAAUGAAAAAAAAAAAACAAACCAAAAUACUUAUUCUAUCCUGUCCUUCCCUGCCUAAUAAUAUUAUCAACAGAAAGUGAACUUAAAGCUACUGAAACAAUUAGGUGAAGAAUCUCUGAAAGAAGAUGGUUUGCUCAUUUUACAUGGAAGACUCCAUCCAAGAUUUGGAUCGUCGUUUUCCUUGUGACAAGAUCCCUAUAAAAUUUCUGGGUAAAAAAAUACUGCUUUCUUUGAACCUGCCUCUUGACAUCAUUUCUGGAUGGAUAGCUGCUUGAUCUUCUUUCUGGUUUCUGAAGCUCAUGCAGAAAGAAAAUAUAUGAUGAAAUAGAAAAAAGAAACAUGACAAAAAUGGAGACGGCUACAGUUCUUUUUGAACUGAUCAAGAGUGGGUCCCUUUCCACAGCGUGCAGUCCUUCAGGCACACCCUUCUCCAACAUGGAUUCCUGACAGGUCACAAGUCCUGCAAGAAAAUCUCCUAUUCCAUGGACUGCAGAGAGACAGCUGCUUCACUAUGGUCUUCACCACAGGCUGCAGGAGAAUCUCAGCUUCAGCACCUGGAGCAGCUCCUCUCCCUCCUUCUUCAAUGAUCUUUGGUGUCUACACAGUUGAUCCUCUCACAUACUUUCACCCUGCUCCUCUCUGGCCAUAACUACAUCUGCACAAUAACUACUUUUUCUCUCUAAAUAUGUUAUUGCAGAGGAGACAUCAUGAUUUCUGAUUGGCAUGACCUUAUCCAGUGGCACAUUCAUCUUGGAGGCAGUUGGCAUUGACUUUGCUGGACUUGGAGGAAGCUUCCCUCAGAAGCAACCCCUGUAGGUCCCCUGCUACUAAAACUUGGCUAAGCAAACCCAAUUUUUCUAAUUUGAAAAAAUUAAAAAUUUUUAAAUACUUCCAUUUUAAAUGCUGAAGAUUCCCAAGAAUAAUUAAGGAGACUUUCUAAAGAAUUUAGCUUAUAGGGUUUUAGUUUGAAUUGUGCUGAUGAAGAUUAACAUGGUGCUUUGGUUAUUUGCAGAUAAAAGACUGGUAAGAUCACUUUAAAUACAAUAAGAAAACAUUACAAGAUUAAGCUUAUAUAUGACCCUUUUUUCUCCUAUAAUUAAAUUUCCCAAGGUAGAAACUUUUGUCACAUUCCGCUGUCUAAAGGAUGUUGUCCUCAGAUGUCUGGUCUCUGGGGAAUUUGGAAGAUGAGGGUUAAGUUCUGAUCAUGGCCCUUAAGAGGUCUUUAUCUGCCCUACUGUCAUUGGUCAUGUGACGAAAUAGCUCUGAAAUUCUGAGGCUGAAUUUGUUGAAAACCAUAUUGUUCUCUAGGUCAGUUCACUGCUGCUCUAGAACAAAAUACAGCACCAAAUAGUUGCCACUGUAUUGGACAAAACCUGAGCUACCGAAGGCAAAUAAAACAACUACAGUAGUUAUAAAAAAUUCUCUUUGAGAACUUUGAACUCAUGUCUUAUGCUUCUCUGGGUAUUGUUUUUAUUUUAUUUUUUUAUCUUAAACAUGGUGAAAGCAAACAGUAGAACACAUGUUCUGUGAGGUCCCAUUAAGUUCAGAAAAUGAUUUUGCUGUCAGAAUAUUGGCAUCCUUUUUAAUUGACUCAGAAAAAACAUAAGCAGUCCAGAUUUAUUGGCCUGAAUCUUGAUUAAUUAUUUCACACAUUAUUUUUCAACAGCAUGGUCAUCUUUAAAACUAAUAAUUUGUUAAUUUCUUCUGUAUCAACUGGUUUAUAUAAUUACCAUUCACCAAAAAAUUCCAAAAAUAAAGUGAUAGACCAAAACCUGUUUUUCUACUGAUGUUGAUAAGAGCUUACCUGAACUGCCUCUACUUUGGUUUUCUAACAGAAAUGAUUUUGCUUUUGUAACCUGAUGAUUCCUUAUGCAUAUGGCAGAUUAAUCUUAGAGAUAUUGUUUGGUGAGAUAGUCUGUUCAAGGCCAUUAGCUUUUCUCACAUAUUUCUUUGCCAAAAAACUUGCUAGUGAGGGAACAUUUAAUUUCUGAUUUCCAAAAAGAGAACUGAUUUUCAAAUUUACAAAGCCAUUGGGUUUUCUUAUGAUUAAAUGGCAAGCAAGAUGAAUUAUUAUUCCUCCUCGGAUGGCGCUUCCAUUUCAAUAAAGUUUUUAUUUUUUAGUCUCAUAUUAGUUAAACCAUAAGGUUUUAAAGAUAGAUGUUUUACUUUAAGAUUGGGUAUUAACAAGCUUCAGCUGUUGAAAUAAGUUCACUGAGGAGAAAAUACAUUCCUAAAACCUUUCUGGUUACUUGCAAAUAUGUCUUCUUUCAUAUUAAAACAUCAAUCAAGUAUUUGUCUUUACCUCCUUGAAUACUCAACAGAAGGCUAUGUAGCUUCCUUUUACUUCAAUACAAAGUAUGCUACUCCUCCAAAAUAUUUGUAUGCCACUGUUUCAUUGUGGAUUUCAGAGAACGCUUUUUUCAAUGACAGAAUGACUAAGCAAAUUAAAAUGUCUCUUUCUUUGAGACUCUAUGAAUCAUAAAAUAUAUGAAAUUAAAGUAUUGGAAGCCAUUUUGUGCACUUUUUUUUUUCCUUACAGCAUUCCAUCCUACUGGUAUGACUAUUACAUUUAAUUUGUAUCACAUAUUAAUGCCAAAUAAUUUUCAGGACUGAUUGCUGCUUUCUGAAGCUUCCUUGCCAUCCUAUAUACAGCAUUGAAAUUACAUUGUUGCUAACUUUGGCUAGGGAAUAGUUUAUUCCAGAUUUAUGCCAGGAAUUAAAUAAACUAACAAAAAACAAACAAACAGGUACAUGAAUGUUGCCAUAUUAUAUUCAUUCUGCAAAAUAUUGAAAAUGCUGUUCCUCUUCAGGUCUUUUUGUCAAGAGGUGACAAAGAUAGAUCAACCAGUGCCACAGAUCAGAUCACUGAGAAAGCUGGGCAGAUAACUAAUAUCUGGUAAUAAUCUGAUACUCUGAUUCCAAGACUAACAAUGUCUCUUUGACAGCGUCAUUGUUAUUAGUACUAAGUAGUAUCAGUAUUGCUGUUCUGUUUUUAUGGCUUAAUCAACAUCAUCUGGGAUCAGUGGUAUGAACCACCAUACACGGGGAAUUCAAAAAGUUACAACUCUCCUCUAGGAAAUACCAACUAGAGAAAGAGAUGAGCAGUGGAAGGAUGCAGAGUGAGACAACAAGAUAUUGUCAUUCACUGUAGGGAAAAGGCUGAGGCAAAAAUUACAGAAAACUGGGAAGUUAUAACAUUACAGAAAGAAUAGGGGGGAAAUACAGUUGCUGUUCUUUGGACAGAAUGUGUUCAAUGUGCCCAACUUCCCACACACAAUAUAUGAGAAGGGUGAGAUGAAACUGGCAGUGGAGCAGAGUAGAGAAAUGUUGACCAAGCUCAGCUGAAAUCCUUGCGGAAGAGGGAACUCAGUGAUACUUUAGCUGACAAGCCACACAUUCGCUGCUGACCAAGGGAGAGAGAAAGAGAUGUCUUAUUCUUGAACCAGAAACCAGGGUCAAAUCUCUCUCAUCAUAUAUAAUACUGAUGCUCAUCUCCAUUCCAAGGUUACCUCAGAUGUAAUACUGAUCCUCACCUCCAUCCCAAACCUACCUUUCUCCAGGGUAUGAGCACCCCUCUCUGAGCAUGAUGCAUGCCUAGAGUCACUAAAGUUUCACCUAGACACCAAGAAUAUGGUAAAAGUUAACAACUGAGAUAAGUUAGGGAAGACUCUGCAACUGCCAGGAUCAGCUGACAAGCUGAACUUGUCUUCUCCCUCAUGGAGAUGGCUAUUGGGUAAGAAUGAUACUCCAUGCACACUGAAUAAUUAUCUCUAGCUAACUGACUUUUUCAGGGAUUAGAGCUUAUCCAUAUAUUGCUUUGAAUAAGUUUUUACAGUCAAAUACUAUUACCAGCAACCUUUGGACCUUAACCUGUCAGAAUUUUCUCUUAUAUUAAUAAUAUUGUUCUGUAAAUUGUUCGUAUGAGUCCUUGAAAGAUGCUGGCAGUCCGUGGCAGUGGGUAAAACUCUCAACUGCAUAGACCUGGGAAGGGGUCUCUCUUAUGCUGUUGGUGUGUGUCCUUGAACAAGUUACUUGAACUGCCCUCCAUUUCAGUGGACUGCUCAGUGGAGAGACCCCAUAAUGGGAUACUGACAAAAUGGUUGGGCGCAAGGAUCUUGGCUCUCCUGAGGUCCACUCCCAACACAUAAAUCAAGCACAAAGGGUUUGAGGAAAUCUUCUCUUUCAUGUGACAUUCAGCAUGACUUCCCCAUACCAUCAGUCUUAUCUAUGUUGUAGGUGAGGCCAGACUUCCAGACUGCCAGUCAGCCACAACCUUGGUCUGUUUUUGCUUUACCUCUUCAUGAAUGCAAAAUUAACCAGAAGGCAAUAUAAAUAUUUUCAGCUUCUGUAGCUGUGCUUUUUGUAGUACACAAAGCCCAAACUAAAGUAAGACAGCUCUUAAUACAGAUGACGCUAAUUGGCUAAUUUAGACUGAUUAGAAUGAUUGUCAUUGAUGGAUGCCUCAUGGGUUUCUAUCUUGCUUUUAGUUGUAAUCAAUUGGAUUUUCAUCCGUAUUCACUACAGGUGUUAAAUUUGAAGACCUUACCCUUUCUGACUUCCCUGCAUAUAUCUACCUCUUCCCAGAAAGACAAGGAGUAUAGAUUAUUAGAUACCUCUGUUUAUUUCCAAGGAACAGCAGCUUCUGAAUAUUUAAAUAACUCCACAUUUUGUAGUAGCUAUUUGAAUUAAAAUCCCUUCAUGGGGGUGCUUUGUGCAUGAGGCUAGCUGGUCUAUAUUAAUCUCUGAGUCCCAAUAAAAUAUACUGACCUGUGCUAAGCCACUGUAAAAAAUAAAAAUAUGUCAUACAUAAUAUAUUAACCUAUUUUUCAUGAUCAGCUGCUACUAAAUAUAAUUUUGAAAAUAAUGUUGUAUUUUGUUAUCGCAUACUAACCCAUUGAAAGAUAAAUCAAGUCACAAACUACUAGAAAUGGAUUGGGAAAGAACAUAAACAAAUAUCCAGACAGAAUCAAUAGCUGCAUCAACAGGCUGUAUGUCCUAUGAGAGCUUCAUUCAUGUUUUCCUCACUCCUAGAACAGGAAAACAUAAUGUCUUGACCAAUUGAAAAAUUUUUAUUAAUCUUUCCACUUAUUUGUUUAAUCUCUCCUGUUAUUAACACUUUUUAAAAUAUUUGAUUAAGAUGAGGCCAGGCAAGGCCACGCACUGCAGACUGCUGGAAAACAGUGUUCCACAGGAUGGAAAUAUUAUUACCUAAAAGGAAAUGAUAUUCCAGUAGUAACUGGUAAAACAUUAUUUUUCGCAUCAUUAGAUCA
This is a non-coding RNA of Taeniopygia guttata (zebra finch), 5652 nucleotides long. Lineage: Eukaryota; Metazoa; Chordata; Aves; Passeriformes; Estrildidae. The record is from RefSeq and is a predicted model, not a curated record.